AACUGAUACUACCUGCGGGAACCUGCGGAAGGAUCAUUAACAAAUCAUUUGCUCUGGAGGCACCGUCCGCGGACCCCCAUUUGCAAUUUACUCGUCUUGGGGAAGGCCGUCAAGGGUGGCUCUUUCCUCUCCGGAGGCUUGGCCACUAAUACCGAUGCGCUGGACCCUCUUGACACAAUACUUACUUUCACAAUUGACAACUACUGGGAACCGAGUAGACAUGCAUAGCAUGUUUGCUUU
Molecule: unclassified non-coding RNA, 240 nt
Filed under: soil metagenome
Description: partial contains 5.8S ribosomal RNA, internal transcribed spacer 2, and large subunit ribosomal RNA
Source: RNAcentral